Onychostoma macrolepis is the source of this 457-nucleotide long non-coding RNA. RefSeq lists it as uncharacterized. The transcript has 4 exons. The record is from RefSeq and is a predicted model, not a curated record. NCBI's taxonomy places the organism in Eukaryota, Metazoa, Chordata, Actinopteri, Cypriniformes, Cyprinidae.
CUCCGUUGAAGUUGAAGUUGAUAUCCAUGUAUUUACCGAAGCGGCUGGAGUUAUCAUUGCGGUUGGUCUUAGCAUUUCCAAAGGCCUCUAACACACAGUUGGAUUUCAGGAGCACGUUCUUCACACUGCGAGGCACAGUGGACAAACUCUCUGUACACGGUUCAUCACAGAGUAAUUCCGCUGCUCCGAACAGAUGCGCUAAAAGCAGCAAGGAAUAGCUGUGACUGUGUGUUUAGUAGCUGCUGUACCUGAAAUGACGAUGCAUGUGUCUUUGGCUCGUCUCUUCAUGGCUUUAUAAGCGGCAUCUGCGACAGCAUACAGAGAAGACAUUUCUGUCAAAGUGGAUGGUGAGCAAAGAUGGUGGUCACGUUUUGGAGCAGCACCUGGGUUUUGCAGAUAGCUAUGUAUUCUUUGGCUGUUUGUCUUUUUUCCCAUUAUGUUUCUGUUGCCUAAAGAU